RNAcentral lists this ribosomal RNA (559 nucleotides) under Anomaloglossus kaiei (Kaie rock frog). RNAcentral's name for it is "partial 16S ribosomal RNA". It matches the Rfam family "Bacterial large subunit ribosomal RNA", at positions 1816 to 2597 of the family's 2925-position model. The record is from RNAcentral. Lineage: Eukaryota; Metazoa; Chordata; Amphibia; Anura; Aromobatidae.
CGCCUCUUGAUUAAACCAUAAGAGGUCCAGCCUGCCCAGUGACAUUGUUCAACGGCCGCGGUAUCCUAACCGUGCGAAGGUAGCGUAAUCACUUGUCCCUUAAAUGGGGACUAGUAUGAAUGGCCCCACGAAAGCUAUACUGUCUCCUUUUUCCAAUCAGUUAAACUAAUCUUCCCGUGAAGAAGCGGGAAUAAAUAUACAAGACGAGAAGACCCUAUGGAGCUUUAAACAAUUGAAACACUUGCAUGCUUGCUUUAUUAAACCCACAUUAAACCUCACAUUUUGUUUCUAGUUUUAGGUUGGGGUGACCGCGGAGAAUAAACUAACCUCCACGCCGAAAGAGACAUCUCUAAACAAAAAGCUACAUCUUUAUGUAUUAAUAUAUUAACCUUUAUUGACCCAAUUUAUUGAUCAACGAACCAAGUUACCCUAGGGAUAACAGCGCAAUCCAUUUCAAGAGCUCUUAUCGACAAAUGGGUUUACGACCUCGAUGUUGGAUCAGGGUAUCCCAGUGGUGCAGCCGCUACUAAUGGUUCGUUUGUUCAACGAUUAAAACCCU